This is a non-coding RNA of Xyrichtys novacula (pearly razorfish), 13837 nucleotides long. Lineage: Eukaryota; Metazoa; Chordata; Actinopteri; Labriformes; Labridae. The record is from the annotation of a GenBank genome assembly.
CUUUUUGAACUUGAGGUUGUGGAAAUUGUUAAACUUGAGAAUUUGGUAUUGAUUGAACUUUGGUUUGUUUUUUUUAACUUGAGUUUUUUGUUGUUUUUGAACUUUAGUUUGUGGAAAUUGCUAAACUUGAGAAUUAGGUGUUGGUUUAACUUGAGUUUGUUUGUUUGUGGAACUUGAGUUUGUGUUAUGUAUGAAGUUGAGUUUGUGUCGUUUUUGGACUAAAGUUAGUGUGUUUGUUGAACUUGAGGUUGUGGAAAUUGUUAAAGUUUAGAAUCAGGUGGUGGUUGAACUUGAGAUAGUGUGUUCGUUGAACUUGAGUUUUUUGUCAUGUUUGAAGUUGAGAUUGUGGUGUCUUUGAACUUGAGUUUAUGUGUUUGUUGAACUUGAGUUUUUGUUGUGUUUGAACUUGAGUUUGUGGUGUUUUUGAACUUGAGUUUUUUUCAUGUUUGAACUUAAGUCCGGGCGUUUGUUGAACUUGAGUUUGUGUCAUGUUUGAAUUUGAGUUUGUGUUUUUUUUAUUUGAAUUUGUGGUGUUUUUGAACUUGAGGUUGUGGAAAUUGUUAAACUUGAGAAUUGGGUAUUGAUUGAACUUGAGUUGCGUGUUUGGUGGAAUUCAGUUUGUACCUUGUUUUAACUUGAGUUUGUGUUGUGUUUGAACUUGAGUUGCGUGUUGGUCAAAUUAAGUUUGUGUAUUUUUUGAACUCAAAUUUCUGUUGUUUUUGAACUUGAGGGUGUGGAAAUUGCUAAAGUUGAGAAUCAGGUGUUGGUUGAACUUGAGUUAGUGUGUUUGUUGAACUUGAGUUUGUGUUGUGUUUGAACUUGAGUUUUUUGGUGUUUUUGAAUUUGAGUUUUUGUGUUUGUUGAACAUGAGUUUGUGUUGUGUUUGAAUUUUAGUUUGUGGUUUUUUUAACUUAAGUUUGUUUCGUGUUUGAACAUGAGGUUGUGGAAAAUGUUAAACUUGAGAAUUGGGUAUUGGUUGAACUUGAGUUUUUUGUGUUUUUGAACUUGAGUUUGUGUCUUGUUUGAACUUGAUUUUGUGGUGUUUAUGAACUUGAGUUUGAUGCGUUUGUUGAACUUGAGUUUGUGUCGUGGUUGAACUUGAGUUUGUGGUGUUUGUUGAACUUCAGUUUGUGUCGUGUUUGAACUUCAGUUUGUGUUUUUGUUUAACUUGAGGGUGUGGAAUUUGUUAAAAUUGAGAAUUGGGUAUUUGUUGAACUUGAAUUUGUGUGUUUUUUGAACUUGAGUUUCUGUUGUUUUUGAACUUGAGUUUGUGGUGUUCUUGAACUUGAGUUUGUUUCAUGUUUGAACUUUAGUUUGUUGCGUUUUUUAACUUGAGUUUGUGUCGUGUUUGAAUUUGAGUUUGUGGGGUUUUUUAACUUGAAUUUGUGGUGUUUUAGUUGAACUUGAGGUUGUGGAAAUUGUUAAACCUGAGAUUUCGGUAUUGGUUGAACUUGAGUUUUAUGUGUUUUUGAACCUUAGUUUUUUUCAUGUUUGAACUCGAGUUUGUGUUUUGUUUGAACUUGAGUUGCGUGUUUGGUGAAAUUAAGUUUGUGUAUUUUUUGAACUUGAGUUUCUGUUGUUUUUGAACUUGAGGAUGUGGACAUUGUUAAAGUUGAGAAUCAGGUGUUUUUGAACUUGAGUUUUUGUGUUUGUUGAACUUGAAUUUUUUUGUGUUUAAACUUUAGUUUGUGGUUGUUUUGAACAUGAGUUUUUUUCAUGUUUGAACUUGAGGUUGUGGAAAUUGUUAAACUUGAGAAUCAGGUGUUGGCUGAACUUGAGUUUUUUGUGUUUUUGAACUCCAGUUUUUUCUUGUUAGAACUUGAGUUGCGUGUUUCGUGAUAUUAAGUUUGUUUAACUUGAGAAUUUGUUGGUUUUGAACUUGAGGGUGUGGACAUUGUUAAAGUUGAGAAUCAGGUGUUGGUUGAAGUUUUUUUAGUGUGUUUGUUGAACUUGAGUUUGUGUUGCGUAAGAACUUUAGUUUGUGGUGUUUUUGAACUUGAGUUUGUGUGUUUUUUGGACUUGAGUUUCUGUUGUGUUUGAGCUUGAAUUUGUGUGUUUUUUUUAACUUGAGUUUCUGUUGUUUUGGAAUUUGAGGUUGUGGAAAUUGUUAAACUUGAGAAUUAUGUGUUGGUUGAACUUGAGUUAGUGUGUUUGUUGAACUUGAGUAUGUGUUGUGUUUGAACUUAAGUAUGUGUUUUUUUUACUUGAGUUUGUUUCGUGUUUGAACUUGAGGUUGUGGAAAUUGUUAAACUUGAGAAUUGGGUAUUGGUUGAACUUGAGUUUUUUGUGUUUUUGAACUCCAGUUUUUGUCUUGUUAGAACUUGAGUUGCGUGUUCGGUGAUAUUAAGUUUUUUUAACUUGAGAAUUUGUUGGUUUUGAACUUAAGGGUGUGGACAUUGUUAAAGUUGAGAAUCAGGUGUUGGUUGAACUUUUUUUAGUGUGUUUGUUGAACUUGAGUUUGUGUUGCGUUUGAACUUUAGUUUGUGGUGUUUUUGAACUUGAGUUUGUGUGUUUUUUGAACUUAAGUUUGUGUUGUGUUUGAGCUUGAAUUUGUGUGUUUUUUUUUAACUUGAGUUUCUGUUGUUUUGGAAUUUGAGGUUGUGGAAAUAGUUAAAGUUGAGAAUCAGGUGUUGGUUGAACUUGAGUUAGUGUGUUUGUUGAACUUGAGUUUGUGUUGCGUUUGAACUUUAGUUUGUGGUGUGUUUGAACUUGAGUUUGUGGUGUUUUUGAACUUGAGUUUGUUUCAUAUUUUAACUUGAGUUUGUGGCGUUUUUUGAACUUGAGUUUGUAUCGUGUUUGAACUUGAGUUUGUGGUGUUUUUGAACAUAAAUAUGUGUAUGCGGUGAACUUGAGUUUCUAUGUUUUUUGAACUUGAGUUUCUGUUGUUUUUGAACUUGAGUUAGUGGAAAUUGUUGAACUUGAGAAUCAGGUUUUCGUUGAACUUGAAUUUUUGAUUUUGUUGAACUUGAAUUUGUGUUGUGUUUUUUGAACUUGAGUUUUUGUGUUUGUUGAACUUGAGUUUGGGUUGUGUUUGAACUGUUGUAUGUGGUUUCUUUUAACUUAAGUUUGUGGUGGUUCUUGACUUGAGGGUGUGGAAAUUGUUAAAGUAUAGAAUCAGGUGUUGGUUGAACUUGAGUUUGUGUUGUGUUUAAACUUUAGGAUGUGUUUUUUUUAACUUGAGUUUAUGUUGUGUUUGAACUUGAGGUUGUGGAAAUUGUAAAACUUGAGAAUGGGGUAUUGGUUGAACUUGAGUUUUUUGUGUUUUUGAACCACAGUUUGUGUCUUGUAUGAACUAGAGUUUGUGUUGUGUUUGAACUUGAGUUGCGUGUUUGGUAAAAUUAAGUUUGUGUAUUUUUUUAACUUGAGUUUCUGUUGUUUUUGAACUUGAGGGUGUGGACAUUGUUAAAGUUGAGAAUCAGGUGUUGGUUGAAUUUGAGUUAGUGUGUUUUUUGAACUUGAGUUUGUGUCGUGUUUGAACUUGAGUUUUUUGGUGUUUUUGAACUUGAAUCUUUGUGUUUGUUAAACUUAUGUUUGUGUUGUGUUUGAACUUUAGUAUGUGGUUUUUUGAACAUGAGUUUGUUUCGUGUUUGAACUUGAGGUUGUGGAAAUUGUUAAACUUUAGAAUUGGGUAUUGGUUGAACUUGAGUUUUUUGUGUUUUUGAACUCCAGUUUUUGUCUUGUUAGAACUUGAGUUGCGUGUUCGGUGAUAUUAAGUUUUUUUUAACUUGAGAAUUUGUUGGUUUUGAACUUAAGGGUGUGGACAUUGUUAAAGUUGAGAAUCAGGUGUUGGUUGAACUUUUUUUAGUGUGUUUGUUGAACUUGAGUUUGUGUUGCGUUUGAACUUUAGUUUGUGGUGUUUUUGAACUUGAGUUUGUGUGUUUUUUGAACUUAAGUUUGUGUUGUGUUUGAGCUUGAAUUUGUGUGUUUUUUUUUAACUUGAGUUUCUGUUGUUUUGGAAUUUGAGGUUGUGGAAAUAGUUAAAGUUGAGAAUCAGGUGUUGGUUGAACUUGAGUUAGUGUGUUUGUUGAACUUGAGUUUGUGUUGCGUUUGAACUUUAGUUUGUGGUGUGUUUGAACUUGAGUUUGUGGUGUUUUUGAACUUGAGUUUGUUUCAUAUUUUAACUUGAGUUUGUGGCGUUUUUUGAACUUGAGUUUGUAUCGUGUUUGAACUUGAGUUUGUGUUGUUUUUGAAUUUGAGUUUGUGGUGUUUUUGAACAUAAAUAUGUGUAUGCGGUGAACUUGAGUUUCUAUGUUUUUUGAACUUGAGUUUCUGUUGUUUUUGAACUUGAGUUAGUGGAAAUUGUUGAACUUGAGAAUCAGGUUUUCGUUGAACUUGAAUUUUUGAUUUUGUUGAACUUGAAUUUGUGUUGUGUUUUUUGAACUUGAGUUUUUGUGUUUGUUGAACUUGAGUUUGGGUUGUGUUUGAACUGUUGUAUGUGGUUUCUUUUAACUUAAGUUUGUGGUGGUUCUUGACUUGAGGGUGUGGAAAUUGUUAAAGUAUAGAAUCAGGUGUUGGUUGAACUUGAGUUUGUGUUGUGUUUAAACUUUAGGAUGUGUUUUUUUUAACUUGAGUUUAUGUUGUGUUUGAACUUGAGGUUGUGGAAAUUGUAAAACUUGAGAAUGGGGUAUUGGUUGAACUUGAGUAUUUUGUGUUUUUGAACUACAGUUUGUGUCUUGUAUGAACUAGAGUUUUUGUUGUGUUUGAACUUGAGUUGCGUGUUUGGUAAAAUUAAGUUUGUGUAUUUUUUUAACUUGAGUUUCUGUUGUUUUUGAACUUGAGGGUGUGGACAUUGUUAAAGUUGAGAAUCAGGUGUUGGUUGAAUUUGAGUUAGUGUGUUUUUUGAACUUGAGUUUGUGUCAUGUUUGAACUUGAGUUUUUUGGUGUUUUUGAACUUGAAUCUUUGUGUUUGUUAAACUUAUGUUUGUGUUGUGUUUGAACUUUAGUAUGUGGUUUUUUGAACAUGAGUUUGUUUCGUGUUUGAACUUGAGGUUGUGGAAAUUGUUAAACUUUAGAAUUGGGUAUUGGUUGAACUUGAGUUGCGUGUCUGGUUAAAUUAAGUUUGUAUAUUUUUUGAACUUGAGUUUCUGUUGUUUUUAAACUUGAGGGUGUGGAUAUUUUUAAAGUUUAGAAUCAGGUGUUGGUUGAACUUGAGUUAGUGUGUUUGUUGAACUUGAGUUUGUGUCGUGUUUGAACUUGAGUCUCUGUUGUUUUUGAACUUGAGUUUUUGUGUUUGUUGAACUUGAGUAUGUGUUGUGUUUGAACUUUAGUUUGUGGUGUUUUUGAACUUGAUUUUGUGUGUUUUUUGAACUUAAGUUUGUGUUGUGUUUGAGCUUGAAUUUGUGUGUUUUUUUUUAACUUGAGUUUCUGUUGUUUUGGAAUUUGAGGUUGUGGAAAUAGUUAAAGUUGAGAAUCAGGUGUUGGUUUAACUUGAGUUAGUGUGUUUGUUGAACUUGAGUUUGUGUUGCGUUUGAACUUUAGUUUGUGGUGUGUUUGAACUUGAGUUUGUGUGUUUUUUGAACUUAAGUUUGUGUUGUGUUUGAGCUUGAAUUUGUGUGUUUUUUUUUAACUUGAGUUUCUGUUGUUUUGGAAUUUGAGGUUGUGGAAAUAGUUAAAGUUGAGAAUCAGGUGUUGGUUGAACUUGAGUUAGUGUGUUUGUUGAACUUGAGUUUGUGUUGCGUUUGAACUUUAGUUUGUGGUGUGUUUGAACUUGAGUUUGUGGUGUUUUUGAACUUGAGUUUGUUUCAUAUUUUAACUUGAGUUUGUGGCAUUUUUUGAACUUGAGUUUGAAUCGUGUUUGAACUUGAGUUUGUGUUGUUUUUGAAUUUGAGUUUGUGGUGUUUUUGAACAUAAAUAUGUGUAUGCGGUGAACUUGAGUUUCUAUGUUUUUUGAACUUGAGUUUCUGUUGUUUUUGAACUUGAGUUAGUGGAAAUUGUUGAACUUGAGAAUCAGGUUUUCGUUGAACUUGAAUUUUUGAUUUUGUUGAACUUGAAUUUGUGUUGUGUUUUUUGAACUUGAGUUUUUGUGUUUGUUGAACUUGAGUUUGGGUUGUGUUUGAACUGUUGUAUGUGGUUUCUUUUAACUUAAGUUUGUGGUGGUUCUUGACUUGAGGGUGUGGAAAUUGUUAAAGUAUAGAAUCAGGUGUUGGUUGAACUUGAGUUUGUGUUGUGUUUAAACUUUAGGAUGUGUUUUUUUUAACUUGAGUUUAUGUUGUGUUUGAACUUGAGGUUGUGGAAAUUGUAAAACUUGAGAAUGGGGUAUUGGUUGAACUUGAGUUUUUUGUGUUUUUGAACCACAGUUUGUGUCUUGUAUGAACUAGAGUUUGUGUUUGAACUUGAGUUGCGUGUUUGGUAAAAUUAAGUUUGUGUAUUUUUUUAACUUGAGUUUCUGUUGUUUUUGAACUUGAGGGUGUGGACAUUGUUAAAGUUGAGAAUCAGGUGUUGGUUGAAUUUGAGUUAGUGUGUUUUUUGAACUUGAGUUUGUGUCGUGUUUGAACUUGAGUUUUUUGGUGUUUUUGAACUUGAAUCUUUGUGUUUGUUAAACUUAUGUUUGUGUUGUGUUUGAACUUUAGUAUGUGGUUUUUUGAACAUGAGUUUGUUUCGUGUUUGAACUUGAGGUUGUGGAAAUUGUUAAACUUUAGAAUUGGGUAUUGGUUGAACUUGAGUUGCGUGUCUGGUUAAAUUAAGUUUGUAUAUUUUUUGAACUUGAGUUUCUGUUGUUUUUAAACUUGAGGGUGUGGAUAUUUUUAAAGUUUAGAAUCAGGUGUUGCUUGAACUUGAGUUAGUGUGUUUGUUGAACUUGAGUUUGUGUCGUGUUUGAACUUGAGUCUGUGUUGUUUUUGAACUUGAGUUUUUGUGUUUGUUGAACUUGAGUAUGUGUUGUGUUUGAACUUUAGUAUGUGUUUUUUUUAACAAGUUUUUUUCCUGUUUGAACUCUAGUUAAUGUGUUUGUUUAACUUGAAUUUGUGGUGUUUUUGAACUUGAGGUUGUGGAAAUUGCUAAACUUCAGAAUUGGGAAUUGGUUGAACUUGAGUUUUUUGUGUUUUUGAACUUCAGUUUGUGUCGUGUUUGAACUUGAGUUUGUGUUGUUUUAGAACUUGAGUUGCAUGUUUGGUGAAAUUAAGUUUGUGUAUUUUUUUAACUUGAGUUUCUGUAGUUUUUGAACUUGAGGGUGUGGACAUUGUUAAAGUUGAGAAUCAGGUGUUGGUUGAAUUUGAGUUAGUGUGUUUUUGGAACUUGAGUUUGUGUCGUGUUUGAACUUGAGUUUGUGUUGUGUUUUUUGAACUUGAGGUUUUGUCAAUUUUUAAACUUGAGAUUUGGGUGUUGGUUAAACUUGAGUUUGUGUCAUGUUUGAACGAAGGUUCGUGGUGUUUGUUGAACUUGAGUUUGUGUGUUAUUUGAACUUGAGUUUGUUGAACUUGAAUUUGUAGCAAUUGUUGAACUUUAGUUUGUACCUUUGUUGAACUUGCGUUUUUGACAUGUUCGAACUUGAGUUUGUGUUGUUUUUGAACUUGAGUUUGUGGCAAAUGUUGAACUUGAGUCUGUGCUUUUUGGUGAACUUUAGUUGGUUGGAAUUGUUGAACUUGAGUUUGUGACAUUUUUUGAAUUUGAGUUUAUGACGUGUUUUAACUUGCGUUUUUUUUCUUUUACUUGAGGUUGUGGUGUGUUUGAACCUGAGGUUUUGGAAAUUGUUAAACUUGAGAAUUGGAUAUUGGUUGAACUUGAGUUUGUGUGUGUGAACUUGAGUUUGUGUUGUGUUUGAACUUGAGUCUGUGGUGUUUUUGAACUUGAGGUUGUGUGUUUGUUGAACUUGAGAUUUGGGUGUUGGUUGAACUUGAGUUUGUGUCGUGUUUGAACUUUAGUUUGUGCUGUUUUUGAACUUAGGUUUGUUGAACUUGAGUUUUUGGCAAUUGUUGAACUUGAGUCUUUGGUUUUUAGUCAACUGUAGCAGGUGGCAAUUGUUGAAGUUGAGUUUGUGGCGUUUUUUGAACUUGAGUUUGUGUCAUGUUUGAACUUAAGUUUGUGGUGUUCUUGGACUUGAGUUUGUGGUGUUUGAACUUGAGGUUGUGGUGUUUUUGAACUUUAGUUUGUGUGUUUUUGAACUUGAGUUUGUGUUGUGUUUGAACUUGAGUUUGUGUUGUGUUUGAACUUGAGUUUGUGGUGUUUUUUGAACUUGAGGUUGUGUAAAUUGUGAAUCUUGAAAAUAAGGUGUUGGUUGAACUUAAGUUUGUGUUUUUUUUAACUUGAUUUUUUGUCAUGUUUGAACUUGAGUUUGUGGUUUUUAUAAACUUGAGUUUGUGUUGUUUUUGAACUUCAGUUUUUGGAAUCUGUUAAACUUGAGCUUUGGUUUUUGGUUGAACUUGAGUUUGUGGUCUUUGUUGAACUUGAGUUCAUGUCGUGUUUGAACUUGAGUUUGUGGUUAUUUUGAACUUGAGUUUUUGUUUUUUUAACUUCAGGUUGUGCUGUUUUUGAACUUCAGUUUGUGGAAAUUGUUGAACUUUCGGAUCAGGUGUUGAUUGAACUUGAGUUUGAAACGUGUUUGAACAUGAGUUUUUGGUGUUUUUGAACUUGAUUUUUUGUGUUUUUUGAACUUGAGUUUGUUGUGUUUUUGAACUUUGUUGGUUGGUUGAACUUAAAAUUUUUUACAUUUGUUGAACUUGAGUUUUUGGUGUUCGUCGAACUUGAAUUUAUGUCUCAUUUGAAUUUGAGUUUGUGGCGUGUUUCAACUUGAGGUUGCAAUUGUAAACUUGAGAUUUGGGUUUUGGUUGAACUUAAAACUUAGACAUUUGUUGAACUUGAGUUUGUGGCGUUUGUUGAACUUUUGUCUGUGUCGUGUUUGAACUUGAGUUUGUGGUGUUUUUGAACUUGAGAUUUUAGUGUUUGUUGAACUUGAGUUUGUGUCGUGUUUUUUAGAAGAUGACCUCGGUGCAAAAAUGCGGGAAUGAACUACACGAAGACAGAGUCAAGCUGGCAGCCUCUCGCAGGAUUUUAUUCCGAUCACAGCAUCAGACACAAUUCAAUGAACAAAUCGAACAGACAGAACCCAGAACAGAAAACCUACAGACCUCUUAUAAUACUCCAUUGACGUCACUGAUCUCAGCUUUUGCCAAAUGUGUGUGCGAAGCUACCUUCGUGUGUGUGUAUUUCCCACUUUCAAGUGGGAACGUUACCUACGUGACUUUUCCCUGCCAAUAUCUCUGAAGCACAUCUGUAUCCAUCUUCCUCUGCCAAAUUUCCUGUUAUUGUACUACAGUUCACCAUGACCUGAUGAAGUUUAUCCCAAUCUGACCUCUCCAACCAUAUCCUGCUUUCUUGCCUCAUAGUAACCUCCAAAACAUCCAAACAUAUCUGUUAUUUUCCCCCACAUAUCCCCCCUUUGAAUCUUUUCAAGAUUAAACGAGUUCAAUGACGCCGUUGGAGAUUCACACUUAUCUUGUCUUAGCCUUAGUUACGUUACAUGAAUGAGUUAUGACAACGUUAUGUGAUAUGGUACUACUAGAUUGAUUACAGUUGCAUAUGUAUGUUUUCAAACCAAUCCAACUCAUGCUUGUGAUCACGAAUGUUACAUUUUCAUAAACACAACACUUAAAUCACUUGUGACUUGGUUCACAUCUGACAGGGGCGAAAAACCUGCUGGCUGCUUUGAGCAGGAAAUCCCCCUGCGGCCCCUCCCGCUGGCGACCUUCACCGUGAACCUUCUAAAUCUAACUGCUUUUCACUGACCCACUCUACAUGACAAUCAACCACAUGUUUUAUUUUGCUCAAAAAAUGAUUAACCAUUUCCUUUACCUGUUUCCAUAUACCUGGAAUGAGUAUGUGUAAAUGAUGUGAGUAUGCAGAAUACACAUGGAUAACAACAGAAUAUGUGUGUAUUGAUGUGAUAGUCCAUUUGCAGAAUACACCUGGAUAGCAACAGAAUAUGCGUGUAUUGAUAUGAUAGUCCAUUUGCUCCGCCGUCCCAUUUGCUUUUCCUUUUGCUCGCUCGCUGCUGCUGCACCUCUGCUUCUUGUUUACCUCACACUUGACUCAGUUCAUCCUCAUCAGAGUCACCCACACAGGCAGGGUUCGGGUAUAAGUCCGUAUAGUCCCCGUUUCCCGCCUUGCUGUCGUCCAAGCAGAGUUGUGCCAUUUGGGACGGCGUCAGCAAGUUCAACAUUUGAGCUCUUUGGAGACCAGCCACCACAGUCAUCAGUCUUUCCAGAGCCCGCAGACACUGCCUCCUCAGGAUGGGGAUGAUGCAACAUAUCAAAAAGGAAAUUACAAUUAGGACUGCUAGUGCACUGAGUCCUAUCUUAGCCCAAACGGCUCCCCAUUUUCCUAAAAUUUGGUCAAACCAAUCCCAUGACAGUCCCCCCUUGCCCGCACUCUCCCUGAGCUCAACUCUGAGUUCUGUAAGCUUCCCCAUUGCCACAGAAAAUAUACCAUCAGGGGCUGUGUUAUUUGGAAUAAAGGUACAACAAUGUUUCCCGAACAUGUGACACACUCCUCCCCUAUCCACUGUCAGCCAAUUCAAAGCCUGUCUAUUUUGUUGGGCCAUUAUACUUGCUGCGUGUAAUUGACUACCGAGAGCGCUCAGGAUUUCAGAUGUCGUUCGUUGUAAUAAAUGUAAUUUAUCCAUUGGACAUUUUUAUUAAUGGUGAUCCAGGGGAGAAUCGACUCUAGACCCGCUCUGAUCUCAUCCUGAGCUUUAAACUCCCCUGGAAUUCCUAUUGGCACUCCUAUACUAUUGAUGUACACCUUUUCGUCAAUCUGCCUUUUGUGGCGGUUCAAUUUGGCUGUUUCUUCCUGGAUUUUAAGGAUCUCCUCGACGCCGUCAUACAACACGACAACUGACACUUUCAUUCGCACUAAUGUACAGAGUCCAAUCCAUUUUGGUGGAAGUGUGUUUCGCACAAUGUUGUCUCCACACAUCCAGUAACUGUCAGCUACUGCAACAGUUUGACUUGCGAAAAAAUGCAUACUCGGUCUGGUCAUAGUUAUGUUUUCACAUGUUUGAUCUAACAUUUGCUCUGGAUUUUCAAACCAAACAGGUCUAGUUAUAAACGGUUUGCUCAUAUUAGCUUCCGGAAACCAUGACAAUACCCACGUAAUUUUACAAUUAACAGUUAUAUUUUGGUAUGGAAUGUUUAUGUGUUUGAGCUCAGCUGAGAGUGCUGGCUCAGAGUUUAGCACGUCAUGGAUUGGUGUCUGUGUGGUUGCAUCAUACUCAUCUGAUUCAGAUGCUCUGUCUCCUCUGUCGUGCGGGUUGGUCUCUGGCGUGGCUCUGGUCCCCGGGGUGCUCUGUUUUCCCCUUUGAGUCUCUAGCUCCACUGCUUCUACAGGCAUCCAUAGAAGAGAGUUCAUUACCACCAGCACACACCACAAUGUCAUGUUUUUUCAUCUUUGUUUUUCAACUCAAUACCGCCCUUGGUUUUGCCUGGAACCUUCGUGCAGCGCGACAGGUGAUACCACGUCCCGCUCCCUUCGACCUGGACUGCUGUGGGAGUAGCUCGCACCACCGUGUAUGGUCCUUCCCGUCGUGGUUCGUGCCACUUCCUGCACUGAAGUAGAGUUCACCAGGACCAAAGUGCUCAGGUCUUCUCCUCGUUCUUUUUGCCACCCUCCUCAGAGGACGGUGAUGUACACCUGGUGCUCUGGCUCGACUGGCCUCCCCCUCUUGACUGGGAUCAGAUUUUGGCACUCCUCCUGCUAAUCGAUAGAUCUUUGCAUUGUAGUUAGAUGCCUCAUAUAUUUAAUUCUCUAAUUUCCAGCUGCUCAAGCGAAAACCUUAAUUAUUUAGCCGCAGUAAAGCAUAGCUUUGUAAGUUAGUCAAUCAUGCAGUGGAAGAUUUAUCUCAGUGCUUUUGAUUGUGAAAGCUCAUGAGCGCAAGUAGCAAAGCAUCUUCCUAUAGGUUAGUGUUGGUGCAAAUUCUCUGAUCAGAUAUUUACUUGAGAGAUUAACUUUCUUCCCCAGAAUGAUGUACCAAAUCAUGCAAUGACAGAUUUAUUUUGACUCCAAGAUCUUUUGAUGGUGUUGCUUCCAUCCAUCGACUGAACCUGUCAUCCUUACAAACAUGUAACAUUUCCCUUGGCAGUUUUAAUCAUGUCCACAUUGCCUAUGAAUAGAUUUCUAAAAACGUCUCUCUGGAACUGGGAAAGUGUCCCACUUCCGUUUUAUUGUUCUCUUCAAUUCAUCUAACAAAACGCAUAUCACAAUGACCCAAGAGUUUAUCAGCUCUCGUCAGCAUAUUCUAAAAAUGUCGUUUUAAUUGUCUCAUCAUCUCCCCCCUUUCACAGUGUGAAUCACUGUGAAAGUCAGAUCCUAAGUUUGUUUGUUAAUACUACUGGUAGCAAAAUAGUUAUUUGAUUCUAAACCAUCUUCUGUGGCCUUAUUGACCUUUGAUAGCUUCCUAUUACUUUUACAUUAGAUGGCACAUCUGUGAGGAGUGUAUGCGGAUUCAGCACAGCUGCAUUUAGAUUUAUCAGUAUUAAACUAACAGAACAGGGAUGUUACAAUGUCACGAUAUUUACUUUAAAACUAUAAACCAUAACUGUCUACUUACACACCUUGCGGUGAGCACCAACUUUGAAUGUUACUUCUACAUAGGUCCUUUCGGUCUAUAAGGUCAACAGGGUUAAAAUUAAAACUAACAAUUAACUUUUUCCAUCAUCCACAAAAAUCACACUGUAGUAAGCCACCACUUUCACAUUGUCUGGGCUGGGGCCCCCCACCACAGAUCCAGCCGGAAAUGUCCCUGGUCUGGGCAGUUGUCAAAAAUGUCCGGUAUAAUCACAUCCCCAGCAGGUCUAUAGACUUCACUCGUCCGUCAGAAUUCCACUCUCUUCCCCUGCCGGGAUAUAUCCUCUCUAUGGAGCAGGGUUCUGUCUGAGGAUAAACAUUCACAACAGGUGAUUAAACAGGUUACUGUCACAGGUUUUACCGCAGUUAGCAUCUGCACGGUCUGCAUCGCUGGGUCUCUUUUGCAGUGUCUUCCUUAGAGGUGGCUGUUUCAACUUCCUGUUCUUUCGGUCUCCGCUCUUCAUCUGGCAGCACCCUCCCCAUCACAUCACAAUAUGCAUUGAACUCACUCCCAUCUGUCAUGGGAUUCGUCAUUCAACCUUUUUUUUUUCUUGUGCAGGAACUCCUCCAUCGUCUUAGUUCCCAGCAGUUUAGCCAAGAGUGCUUUCAUGUCUGGUGUAGUCAAUAUUUUCCUACAGUUCAUCCUCAAAAACUCAUAUCCAUCUCCCUGCCCCCUGUUCAGUUUGUGGUAGUCUGGCAAUCAGCCCAACAAGGUGUGUGGUUUUCCACGGCACAUAGCUAGCCUGUGUGCCAUUUAUUAAGAUUGAAAACAUACUAUCAGUGCAUUUCCAAGCGAACAUAAUCUAGGCCAGGGGUGUCAAACUCAACCACAGCAAGGGCCAUAAUCUGGAUUUAGAUCUAACCUCAGGGUCAAACAGGAUCAAAAUUUCACUAAAACUGUCAACUUCCUUUUCAAAACAUAUGGGAGGAAACAUAGCAAUGAUUUUAAAUCAUUUGGAAAUUCAAAAGAGAUAAAAAUAAUAAUACUAAUAAAUAAUAAUUUUAAAGGCAACCUACAACUUGAGGUUGUGUUUUUUUUUAACUUGAGUAUGUAUGUUUUUUGAACUUGAGUUUUUGGUGUCUGAACCAGACUUUGUGGUGUUUUUGAACUUGAGUUUGUGUCGUGGUUGAAGUUGAGUUUUUCUUUUUUGUGAACUUUAGUUGCUGGCAAUUUUUGUACUUGAGUUUGUGACGUGUUAGAACUUGUGUUUGUGGUGUUUUUGAACAUGAGGUUGUGGCAAUUGUUAAACUUGAGAAUUGGGUAUUGGUUGAACUUGAGUUU